RNAcentral lists this ribosomal RNA (733 nucleotides) under uncultured low G+C Gram-positive bacterium. RNAcentral describes it as "bacterial SSU rRNA". It matches the Rfam family "Bacterial small subunit ribosomal RNA", at positions 68 to 766 of the family's 1533-position model. The record is from RNAcentral. Lineage: Bacteria; Bacillati; Bacillota.
GCUUCUUUCCUCCCGAGUGCUUGCACUCAAUUGGAAAGAGGAGUGGCGGACGGGUGAGUAACACGUGGGUAACCUACCCAUCAGAGGGGGAUAACACUUGGAAACAGGUGCUAAUACCGCAUAACAGUUUAUGCCGCAUGGCAUAAGAGUGAAAGGCGCUUUCGGGUGUCGCUGAUGGAUGGACCCGCGGUGCAUUAGCUAGUUGGUGAGGUAACGGCUCACCAAGGCCACGAUGCAUAGCCGACCUGAGAGGGUGAUCGGCCACACUGGGACUGAGACACGGCCCAGACUCCUACGGGAGGCAGCAGUAGGGAAUCUUCGGCAAUGGACGAAAGUCUGACCGAGCAACGCCGCGUGAGUGAAGAAGGUUUUCGGAUCGUAAAACUCUGUUGUUAGAGAAGAACAAGGACGUUAGUAACUGAACGUCCCCUGACGGUAUCUAACCAGAAAGCCACGGCUAACUACGUGCCAGCAGCCGCGGUAAUACGUAGGUGGCAAGCGUUGUCCGGAUUUAUUGGGCGUAAAGCGAGCGCAGGCGGUUUCUUAAGUCUGAUGUGUAAAGCCCCCGGCUCAACCGGUGGAGGGUCAUUGGAAACUGGGAUACUUGAGUGCAGAUAGAGGCCGAGUGGAAUUCCAUGUGUAACGGUGAUUAUGCUUAGAUAUAUGGAGGUACACCAUUGGCGAAGUCGGCUCUCUGGUCUGUAACUGACGCUGAGGCUCGUAAAGCGUGGGG